CCUACGGGUGGCAGCAGUGAGGAAUAUUGGUCAAUGGGCGCGAGCCUGAACCAGCCACGUAGCGUGAAGGAUGACUGCCCUACGGGUUGUAAACUUCUUUUAUAAAGGAAUAAAGUGAGGCACGUGUGCCUUUUUGUAUGUACUUUAUGAAUAAGGAUCGGCUAACUCCGUGCCAGCAGCCGCGGUAAUACGGAGGAUCCGCGCGUUGUCCGGAUUUCUUGGGUUUAAAGGGAGCGUAGAUGGGUUGUUAAGUCAGUUGUGAAAGUUUGCGGCUCAACCGUAAAAUUGCAAUUGAUACUGGCAGUCUUGAGUACAGGUGAGGUAGGUGGAAUUCGUGGUGUAGCGGUGAAAUGCGUAGAUAUCACGAAGAACUCCGAUGGCGAAGGCAGCUUACUAAACUGCCACUGACAUUGAUGCUCGAAAGUGUGGGUAUCAAACAGGAUUAGAUACCCUAGUAGUC
This 460-nucleotide ribosomal RNA is filed under the name uncultured bacterium. RNAcentral's name for it is "partial 16S ribosomal RNA". It matches the Rfam family "Bacterial small subunit ribosomal RNA", at positions 338 to 795 of the family's 1533-position model. The record is from RNAcentral.